AACGAACGCUGGCGGCAGGCCUAACACAUGCAAGUCGAGCGAGGACUUCGGUCCUAGCGGCGGACGGGUGAGUAACGCGUGGGAACGUGCCCUUUGCUUCGGAAUAGCCCUGGGAAACUGGGGGUAAUACCGGAUGAGCCCUUUGGGGGAAAGAUUUAUCGGCGAAGGAUCGGCCCGCGUUGGAUUAGGUAGGUGGUGGGGUAAUGGCCUACCAAGCCGACGAUCCAUAGCUGGUUUGAGAGGAUGAGCAGCCACACUGGGACUGAGACACGGCCCAGACUACUACGGGAGGCAGCAGUGGGGAAUCUUAGACAAUGGGGGAAAUCCUGAUCUAGCCAUGCCGCGUGAGCGAUGAAGGCCUUAGGGUUGUAAAGCUCUUUCAGCUGGGAAGAUAAUGACGGUACCAGCAGAAGAAGCCCCGGCUAACUCCGUG
RNAcentral lists this ribosomal RNA (433 nucleotides) under uncultured bacterium. RNAcentral describes it as "partial 16S ribosomal RNA". It matches the Rfam family "Bacterial small subunit ribosomal RNA", at positions 29 to 507 of the family's 1533-position model. The record is from RNAcentral.